UGCAGUCUCUUGAUUUAUGGUUUCGGCCGUAAUGAUGGUGGCGGACGGGUGAGUAACGCGUAAAGAAUCUGCCCUUUAGUCUGGGAUAACAGUUGGAAACGACUGCUAAUACCGGAUAUUAUGAAAUCAUUACAUGAUGGAAUCAUGAAAGCUAUAUGCGCUAGAGGAGGACUUUGCGUCCCAUUAGCUAGUUGGUGAGGUAACGGCUCACCAAGGCGACGAUGGGUAGCCGGCCUGAGAGGGUGAUCGGCCACACUGGGACUGAGACACGGCCCAGACUCCUACGGAGGCAGCAGUGGGGAAUUUUGGACAAUGGGGGCAACCCUGAUCCAGCAAUGCCGCGUGAGUGAAGAAGGCCUUCGGGUUGUAAAGCUCUUUUGUUUGGGAAGAAAUCCCUAAGGAUAAUACCCUUGGGGGAUGACGGUACCAAAAGAAUAAGCACCGGCUAACUACGUGCCAGCAGCCGCGGUAAUACGUAGGGGUGCAAGCGUUAAUUCGGAAUUACUGGGCGUAAAAGCGUGCGCAGGCGGUUUUUGUAAGACAGGUGUGAAAUCCCCGAGCUCAACUUGGGAACUGCACUUGUGACUGCAAGACUAGAGUGUGUCAGAGGGAGGUAGAAUUCCACGUGUAGCAGUGAAAUGCGUAGAUAUGUGGAGGAAUACCAGUGGCGAAGGCGGCCUCCUGGGAUAACACUGACGCUCAUGUACGAAAGCGUGGGUAGCGAACAGGAUUAGAUACCCUGGUAGUCCACGCCGUAAACGUUGAUUACUCGUUUUUGGGUACUUCGGUAUUCAGAGGCCAAGCGAAAGUGAUAAGUAAUCCACCUGGGGAGUACGCUCGCAAGGGUGAAACUCAAAGGAAUUGACGGGGGCCCCGCACAAGCGGUGGAGCAUGUGGUUUAAUUCCGACGCAACGCGAGGAACCUUACCAGCGUUUGACAUCCUAAAGAGUCGACAGAGAUGUUGAUGUGCCCUUUCGGGGGAAUUUAGUGACAGGUGGUGCAUGGCUGUCGUCAGCUCGUGUCGUGAGAUGUUGGGUUAAGUCCCGCAACGAGCGCAACCCCUUUCGUAUGUUACCAUCAUUAAGUUGGGGACUCAUGCGUGACUGCCUGCGAUGAGCAGGAGGAAGGUGGGGAUGACGUCAAGUCAUCAUGCCCCUUAUACGCUGGGCUACACACGUGCUACAAUGGGCGGCACAGAGAGCAGCAAUCCUGCGAGGGGGAGCAAAUCUCAGAAAACCGUUCUUAGUUCGGAUUGUACUCUGCAACUCGAGUACAUGAAGUUGGAAUCGCUAGUAAUCGCAAAUCAGCUAUGUUGCGGUGAAUACGUUCUCGGGUCUUGUACACACCGCCCGUCACACCACGAGAGUUGGUUGCACCUGAAGUAGCAGGCCUAACCGUAAGGAGGGAUUUCC
This 1413-nucleotide ribosomal RNA is filed under the name uncultured bacterium. RNAcentral describes it as "partial 16S ribosomal RNA". It matches the Rfam family "Bacterial small subunit ribosomal RNA". The record is from RNAcentral.